UUUCAUUGAUGUCAAAAUAGAAGACGAGACCGAUAUAUCCAUUCUUAACCUUGAUGCUAACUGAGCCAUUUUUCUGAGAGGA
Molecule: small nucleolar RNA, 82 nt
Organism: Papaver somniferum (opium poppy)
Lineage: Eukaryota; Viridiplantae; Streptophyta; Magnoliopsida; Ranunculales; Papaveraceae
Source: RefSeq, a predicted model, not a curated record